Molecule: ribosomal RNA, 2922 nt
Filed under: Staphylococcus warneri
Lineage: Bacteria; Bacillati; Bacillota; Bacilli; Caryophanales; Staphylococcaceae
Description: 23S ribosomal RNA
Rfam family: Bacterial large subunit ribosomal RNA
Source: RNAcentral
GAUUAAGUUAUUAAGGGCGCACGGUGGAUGCCUUGGCACUAGAAGCCGAUGAAGGACGUUACUAACGACGAUAUGCUUUGGGGAGCUGUAAGUAAGCGUUGAUCCAGAGAUUUCCGAAUGGGGAAACCCAGCAUGAGUUAUGUCAUGUUAUCGAUAUGUGAAUACAUAGCAUAUCAGAAGGCAGACCCGGAGAACUGAAACAUCUUAGUACCCGGAGGAAGAGAAAGAAAAAUCGAUUCCCUGAGUAGCGGCGAGCGAAACGGGAAGAGCCCAAACCAACAAGCUUGCUUGUUGGGGUUGUAGGACACUCUAUACGGAGUUACAAAAGUAUAUAUUAGACGAAUCAUCUGGAAAGUUGAAUCAAAGAAGGUAAUAAUCCUGUAGUCGAAAAUAUAUACUCUCUUGAGUGGAUCCUGAGUACGACGGAGCACGUGAAAUUCCGUCGGAAUCUGGGAGGACCAUCUCCUAAGGCUAAAUACUCUCUAGUGACCGAUAGUGAACCAGUACCGUGAGGGAAAGGUGAAAAGUACCCCGGAAGGGGAGUGAAAGAGAACUUGAAACCGUGUGCUUACAAGUAGUCAGAGCCCGUUAAUGGGUGAUGGCGUGCCUUUUGUAGAAUGAACCGGCGAGUUACGAUUUGAUGCAAGGUUAAGCAGCUAAUGUGGAGCCGUAGCGAAAGCGAGUCUGAAUAGGGCGUUUAGUAUUUGGUCGUAGACCCGAAACCAGGUGAUCUACCCUUGGUCAGGUUGAAGUUCAGGUAACACUGAAUGGAGGACCGAACCGACUUACGUUGAAAAGUGAGCGGAUGAACUGAGGGUAGCGGAGAAAUUCCAAUCGAACUUGGAGAUAGCUGGUUCUCUCCGAAAUAGCUUUAGGGCUAGCCUCAAGUGAUGAUUAUUGGAGGUAGAGCACUGUUUGGACGAGGGGCCCUUCUCGGGUUACCGAAUUCAGACAAACUCCGAAUGCCAAUUAAUUUAACUUGGGAGUCAGAACAUGGGUGAUAAGGUCCGUGUUCGAAAGGGAAACAGCCCAGACCACCAGCUAAGGUCCCAAAAUAUAUGUUAAGUGGAAAAGGAUGUGGCGUUGCCCAGACAACUAGGAUGUUGGCUUAGAAGCAGCCAUCAUUUAAAGAGUGCGUAAUAGCUCACUAGUCGAGUGACACUGCGCCGAAAAUGUACCGGGGCUAAACAUAUUACCGAAGCUGUGGAUUGUCCGUAGGACAAUGGUAGGAGAGCGUUCUAAGAGCGUCGAAGCAUGAUCGCAAGGACAUGUGGAGCGCUUAGAAGUGAGAAUGCCGGUGUGAGUAGCGAAAGACGGGUGAGAAUCCCGUCCACCGAUUGACUAAGGUUUCCAGAGGAAGGCUCGUCCGCUCUGGGUUAGUCGGGUCCUAAGCUGAGGCCGACAGGCGUAGGCGAUGGAUAACAGGUUGAUAUUCCUGUACCACCUAGUAUCGUUUUAAUCGAUGGGGGGACGCAGUAGGAUAGGCGAAGCGUGCUAUUGGAUUGCACGUCCAAGCAGUAAGACUGAGUGUUAGGCAAAUCCGGCACUCAUAAGGUCAAGCUGUGAUGGGGAGAGGAAAUUGUUUCCUCGAGUCGUUGAUUUCACACUGCCAAGAAAAGCCUCUAGAUAGAUAACAGGUGCCCGUACCGCAAACCGACACAGGUAGUCAAGAUGAGAAUUCUAAGGUGAGCGAGCGAACUCUCGUUAAGGAACUCGGCAAAAUGACCCCGUAACUUCGGGAGAAGGGGUGCUCUUUAGGGUUAACGCCCAGAAGAGCCGCAGUGAAUAGGCCCAAGCGACUGUUUAUCAAAAACACAGGUCUCUGCUAAACCGUAAGGUGAUGUAUAGGGGCUGACGCCUGCCCGGUGCUGGAAGGUUAAGAGGAGUAGUUAGCUUCUGCGAAGCUACGAAUCGAAGCCCCAGUAAACGGCGGCCGUAACUAUAACGGUCCUAAGGUAGCGAAAUUCCUUGUCGGGUAAGUUCCGACCCGCACGAAAGGCGUAACGAUUUGGGCACUGUCUCAACGAGAGACUCGGUGAAAUCAUAGUACCUGUGAAGAUGCAGGUUACCCGCGACAGGACGGAAAGACCCCGUGGAGCUUUACUGUAGCCUGAUAUUGAAAUUCGGCACAGCUUGUACAGGAUAGGUAGGAGCCUUUGAAACGUGAGCGCUAGCUUACGUGGAGGCAUUGGUGGGAUACUACCCUAGCUGUGUUGGCUUUCUAACCCGCACCACUUAUCGUGGUGGGAGACAGUGUCAGGUGGGCAGUUUGACUGGGGCGGUCGCCUCCUAAAAGGUAACGGAGGCGCUCAAAGGUUCCCUCAGAAUGGUUGGAAAUCAUUCAUAGAGUGUAAAGGCAUAAGGGAGCUUGACUGCGAGACUUACAAGUCGAGCAGGGUCGAAAGACGGACUUAGUGAUCCGGUGGUUCCGCAUGGAAGGGCCAUCGCUCAACGGAUAAAAGCUACCCCGGGGAUAACAGGCUUAUCUCCCCCAAGAGUUCACAUCGACGGGGAGGUUUGGCACCUCGAUGUCGGCUCAUCGCAUCCUGGGGCUGUAGUCGGUCCCAAGGGUUGGGCUGUUCGCCCAUUAAAGCGGUACGCGAGCUGGGUUCAGAACGUCGUGAGACAGUUCGGUCCCUAUCCGUCGUGGGCGUAGGAAAUUUGAGAGGAGCUGUCCUUAGUACGAGAGGACCGGGAUGGACAUACCUCUGGUGUACCAGUUGUCGUGCCAACGGCAUAGCUGGGUAGCUAUGUAUGGACGGGAUAAGUGCUGAAAGCAUCUAAGCAUGAAGCCCCCCUCAAGAUGAGAUUUCCCAACUUCGGUUAUAAGAUCCCUCAAAGAUGAUGAGGUUAAUAGGUUCGAGGUGGAAGCGUGGUGACACGUGGAGCUGACGAAUACUAAUCGAUCGAAGACUUAAUCAA